GACGAAAGAGGGAGGAGGGAGGAACACAUGCAAGUCGAACGGAAAGGCCCUGCUUUUGUGGGGUGCUCGAGUGGCGAACGGGUGAGUAACACGUGAGUAACCUGCCCUUGACUUUGGGAUAACUUCAGGAAACUGGGGCUAAUACCGGAUAGGAGCUCCUGCUGCAUGGUGGGGGUUGGAAAGUUUCGGCGGUUGGGGAUGGACUCGCGGCUUAUCAGCUUGUUGGUGGGGUAGUGGCUUACCAAGGCUUUGACGGGUAGCCGGCCUGAGAGGGUGACCGGCCACAUUGGGACUGAGAUACGGCCCAGACUCCUACGGGAGGCAGCAGUGGGGAAUAUUGCACAAUGGGCGGAAGCCUGAUGCAGCAACGCCGCGUGCGGGAUGACGGCCUUCGGGUUGUAAACCGCUUUCGCCUGUGACGAAGCGUGAGUGACGGUAAUGGGUAAAGAAGCAUCGGCUCCCUACGUC
This 468-nucleotide ribosomal RNA is filed under the name uncultured bacterium. RNAcentral describes it as "partial 16S ribosomal RNA". It matches the Rfam family "Bacterial small subunit ribosomal RNA", at positions 28 to 507 of the family's 1533-position model. The record is from RNAcentral.